CACGUAGUUAGCCGUGGCUUCCUCAUCUGGUACCGUCAUUAUCGUCCCAGAAAACAGGGUUUUACGAUCCGAAAACCUUCAUCACCCACGCGGCGUUGCUGCGUCAGGGUUUCCCCCAUUGCGCAAUAUUCCCCACUGCUGCCUCCCGUAGGAGUCUGGACCGUGUCUCAGUUCCAAUGUGGCCGAUCACCCUCUCAGGUCGGCUACCCAUCGUUGCCUUGGUAAGCCAUUACCUUACCAACUAGCUAAUGGGACGCGGGCCCAUCUCAAAGCAGAUUACUCCUUUGGUUAAAGUUUCAUGCGAAACUCUAACUUUAUGCGGUAUUAAUCCUCCUUUCGGAGGGCUAUUCCCCUCUUUGAGGCAGGUUGCCCACGUGUUACUCACCCGUCCGCCGCUAAUCCACUUCCCGAAGGAGCUUCAUCGCUCGACUUGCAUGUGUUAAGCACGCCGCCAGCGUUCGUCCUGAGCCAGGAUCAAACUCU
This 483-nucleotide ribosomal RNA is filed under the name uncultured Clostridium sp. RNAcentral describes it as "partial 16S ribosomal RNA". Lineage: Bacteria; Bacillati; Bacillota; Clostridia; Eubacteriales; Clostridiaceae. The record is from RNAcentral.